This 1157-nucleotide long non-coding RNA is filed under the name Monodelphis domestica (gray short-tailed opossum). RNAcentral's name for it is "lncRNA (ENSMODG00000038315.1)". The record is from RNAcentral. Lineage: Eukaryota; Metazoa; Chordata; Mammalia; Didelphimorphia; Didelphidae.
AUGCAGAAACAUUCUGAGGUUGCCAUGACUGAGGGGCCCUACAUCAGACAACACUCCCUCCCUUGGGAGGUGGAUGGGAAUGUUCACAUCAAAGCCUCCUCCAGGGGAGGGGAUGAAAGAACAGGAGCACCACUUUCUUCCUAUGAAUUUUGUGGCUGUUUUGAGACCCUUCUGACUGCCCCCUGGGCAGUGCCAGAGGCCAGCCUGAGGAUGCCUUCAUUUCAACAAGGAGGUGGCCGUGUUCCCUUGGUAGGAAAUGGGACAGGGAGAACCAUCUCCCCAUCAGUAGUCAUUGUCAGAGUUGGCCAUACCCUCCCGAACAUGCUUCUAACAGCUUUGGGUGGAGGAGGUGAUGAGGUUCCAGGGACCACACCACCAGUCCCCAGGGUCUAUGGACAUCAGCCUCAGGCCUUUCCAGAAUAUCUACAUGUAGCCUUUGUUGGUGCUGGUGAUGGAAGAGAUGGAGUAGUUGUCCAAGCCAGACAGUCACAGAUCUUCCCAAACAAUCAUCACAGAAUUCGAUCAAUGACCCAUGGCAGAAGAUACCGGGCCUUCCCCGAGGGCAUGCUGGCAGCUUUGGCUGGAGAGUAGUUGCCUCUCACCAUAGCCAGUCUCGCCCUGAUGGCCCUCGAGGACCCAUAGUCAGGAAUGGAAAUGGAAGACAUAGACCUCUUCCCUGGAACAUAAUAUCCCAAAAUCUCCCAGGUGGCUUUGGACAGGAAGAUGGAAGAGCUGAAGCUAUUUCCUCUGUUCAGAUCGUCCCAGAGGCACUGUAAUUGGAGUCUAGGAAGGACUAAAGCCCACGAUCAGAUCCCCUUCCUUUCCUCCCUUUCCCCUCGUCUCCCUUCCCCCUCAUUCCCUUCUCCUCUCCCUCUUCCUUCCUUCCUUCCUUCCUUCCUUCCUUCCUUCCUUCCUUCCUUCCUUCUUUCUUUCCUUCCUUAUUCCUUCCUUUCCCUUCUAAAUUCCCAUCUUUUCUCCUUCCCUUUCUCUUCUUCUGUGGCCCUUCCCCUGUGGACCCAUGACUCCUUGCAACUAGAGAAGAGCAGAAGGCCCAAAGUCAUCCUCUCCCCAGAUGUUGCUCAUGGAGGACAUUCUUUGAAGUUUUAAUGUGUUAUCUUACAUUCUUUUCUCUAAAAAUAAAAAGCUCUCCCAUCGCA